RNAcentral lists this ribosomal RNA (387 nucleotides) under uncultured bacterium. Its description in RNAcentral is "bacterial SSU rRNA". It matches the Rfam family "Bacterial small subunit ribosomal RNA", at positions 30 to 417 of the family's 1533-position model. The record is from RNAcentral.
AUUGAACGCUGGCGGCAUGCCUUACACAUGCAAGUCGAACGGCAGCACGGGAGCAAUCCUGGUGGCGAGUGGCGAACGGGUGAGUAAUAUAUCGGAACGUGCCCAGUCGUGGGGAUAACGUAGCGAAAGCUACGCUAAUACCGCAUACGAUCUAUGGAUGAAAGCGGGGGAUCGCAAGACCUCGCGCGAUUGGAGCGGCCGAUAUCAGAUUAGGUAGUUGGUGAGGUAAAGGCUCACCAAGCCGACGAUCUGUAGCUGGUCUGAGAGGACGACCAGCCACACUGGGACUGAGACACGGCCCAGACUCCUACGGGAGGCAGCAGUGGGGAAUUUUGGGACAAUGGGCGCAAGCCUGAUCCAGCAAUGCCGCGUGCAGGAUGAAGGCCU